AUGAAGCUUCUCCAUUGGCAUCCAGUCUCCUGGACCACAGAGAUCAGAAAGCACAUUAGCUACAGAUGAUACAACAUCCUUUUCUUCUAACAGCAAGAGCUGCUGAUUGUCAGCAUCUCUGUCAGCUCGAAAUCUUCCAUCUAUCUUCUUAUCUAAUUGCCCAGAAAUCGAAGCCUUCCCACUGGAACCACACGAACCAUACCCAUAGCCGCCACCCUCAGGACCUUCACCCCUCCUCAUCUUCUUACCUACUGAACCACCAUCAUCAUCGUCGUCAUCAUAUUCCUCCUCGUAAUACUCUCUCCCUCUGAAUAAGCCCUUGUUCACUGCCCCACCAUAUCCCGCACCUACAUUCGCAACAGGAGACGGUGACAAAUGCUGCUGCUGGUGGUGAUGAUGGGCAAUGGCGGCAGGACCCGCCACUGGAUAAUUCGCAUUGACAUGUUGUCCCCUGGACCCACCAAGGAUGCUACGAAUUGGAAGGAGGAAAUAGAACUCUUUAUCUCCGAUCUGAAGAAGGUCUUGAGAAUCUAGCUUGAUGGGUGGGGUACCGGGAAGGUGAAGAACACCUUCAACUGAACACCCGUUUUUGCCCAGUACUUCGAGGGCAAAACGACGUCGUUGGAAGUCGUAGAAGAUGCGAGCAUGGUGGCGGGAGAUGUUCAUUCCGCCACCGAGAGAUGAUAAGUCGACAUCUACCGUUGAUUUUUUGGAAUUCCGGCCAAGGAUUAUGGAGUAAGUUUGCAUGUAAUACUCGAAAUCUUCACCUUGUAGCUUCGCGAAUCCCGCUUCUACAUCGCUACCGCUGCUGCUUCCCAUCUCAACGGACUAUCAGGUGAUGAAUAACCGAGUUUCCUUUCUCCGGCGAAGAAUCUCCGACGAGAAAAAGAGUGCUUUGAAAA
Molecule: unclassified non-coding RNA, 902 nt
Filed under: Hevea brasiliensis (rubber tree)
Lineage: Eukaryota; Viridiplantae; Streptophyta; Magnoliopsida; Malpighiales; Euphorbiaceae
Source: RNAcentral